RNAcentral lists this non-coding RNA (338 nucleotides) under Symbiodinium microadriaticum. Its description in RNAcentral is "Eukaryotic large subunit ribosomal RNA". It matches the Rfam family "Eukaryotic large subunit ribosomal RNA", at positions 1998 to 2340 of the family's 3401-position model. The record is from Rfam by way of RNAcentral. Lineage: Eukaryota; Dinophyceae; Suessiales; Symbiodiniaceae.
GCAGAAGCCAUUUGAUGCCUCUGGUAAAAAGUGGAAUCUUGCAUGGCGAAGACUGCCGGACAUGGAAUGCUCUUCGGGGCGUUCCCUGUGCAGCGAACAACCAUCUCAGAACUGGAGCGGACAAGGGGAUUCCGACUGCUUAAUUAAAACAAAGCAUUGCGAUGGCCUCAGAAGAUGUUGGCGCUAUCUCAUGUCUGCUCAAUGCUCUGAAUGUCAAAGUGAUCAAAUUCAAAAAGGCGCAGAUAAACGGCGGGAGCAAUUACGAAUCUCUUACGGUAGCCAAAUGCCUAGUCCUCUAAUUAGUGACGCGCAUGAACGGAUUAACGAGAUUCCCACUA